This 320-nucleotide ribosomal RNA is filed under the name uncultured bacterium. Its description in RNAcentral is "bacterial SSU rRNA". It matches the Rfam family "Bacterial small subunit ribosomal RNA", at positions 1190 to 1510 of the family's 1533-position model. The record is from RNAcentral.
UCCUCAUGGCCCUUAUAGGUGGGGCUACACACGUCAUACAAUGGCUGGUACAGAGGGUUGCCAACCCGCGAGGGUAGCUAAUCCCAUAAAGCCAGUCGUAGUCCGGAUCGCAGUCUGCAACUCGACUGCGUGAAGUCGGAAUCGCUAGUAAUCGCGGAUCAGAAUGUCGCGGUGAAUACGUUCCCGGGUCUUGUACACACCGCCCGUCACACCAUGGGAGCGGGUUCUGCCAGAAGUAGGUAGCCUAACCGUAAGGAGGGCGCUUACCACGGCAGGGUUCGUGACUGGGGUGAAGUCGUAACAAGGUAGCCGUAUCGGAA